CAGACGAUGCGUCAUGCAUAUCAAUAAGCGGAGGAAAAGAAACUAACAAGGAUUCCCCUAGUAACGGCGAGUGAAGCGGGAAGAGCUCAAAUUUGAAAUCUUAAAGGGUUUCCCUUUACGAAUUGUAGUUUAAAGAAGUGUUUUCUGUUGAGGUUUUGGUAAAAGUUCCUUUGGAAUAGGACAUCAUAGAGGGUGAGAAUCCCGUAUUUGACCUUUACUUUCAACUUUGUGAUACACUUUCAAAGAGUCGGAUUGUUUGGGAAUGCAGUCCAAAAUGGGUGGUAAAUUUCAUCUAAAGCUAAAUAUUGGCGAGAGACCGAUAGCGAACAAGUACCGUGAGGGAAAGAUGAAAAGAACUUUGAAAAGAGAGUUAAACAGUACGUGAAAUUGUCAAAAGGGAAGCGUUUGACACCAGUGUUGUUUUUCUGAAAAUCAAUUAAAGAACUGUUUAUGCUAAGCUGUUUAGACUUUAUCAGCUAUCUGUUUAGUUUUGAGCUUUUCUUUAAUGCACUUUUCAGUUAACAAGUCAACAUCAAUUUCUUUUGCUGUAAAAAAGCUUGAGGAAGGUGGCUUGAGAUUCGUCUUAAGUGUUUAUAGCCUCUUGCCUAUGCAGUCGGAGAGAUUGAGGUCUGCAGCGUAGAUCCUUCGGGGCUAAAUGCAUUUGUGCUAAGUUAUAGCAUUUUAUAGACAACUUGUUGACUAUGAUUUGUCUUGUAGCUUACUCGCUUAUGUUAUUUUACCUACGCUUAGGAUGUUGACACACGCGCGUGCUCG
This 774-nucleotide ribosomal RNA is filed under the name uncultured Neocallimastigales. Its description in RNAcentral is "partial large subunit ribosomal RNA". It matches the Rfam family "Eukaryotic large subunit ribosomal RNA", at positions 18 to 643 of the family's 3401-position model. Lineage: Eukaryota; Fungi; Neocallimastigomycota; Neocallimastigomycetes; Neocallimastigales. The record is from RNAcentral.